This 258-nucleotide long non-coding RNA is filed under the name Anser brachyrhynchus (Pink-footed goose). RNAcentral's name for it is "lncRNA (ENSABRG00000004643.1)". The record is from RNAcentral. Lineage: Eukaryota; Metazoa; Chordata; Aves; Anseriformes; Anatidae.
GCAUAGUGUGCUCAGUAUGCAGAUCGAAACAAAAUGACUUCAGUUACUGUCCCAGUUAAUGCUCCUUGUUCUUUAUCGCGUUUCACACAAGGCUAUCACCUCCCUCCUCUGAUGAAAACUGCAGUUUUUCUAAGGAAAUGCAUCAUAUCCCCGAGGACUGCAGUAAUAGUAAUGGAGAAGGAAACAGACGAAAAUAUAAUGGUGAGUAUUAAGAAGAAUUUGUUGGAUUUUUUUUUCAGAAGUCCUGUAAAAUCUAAU